RNAcentral lists this ribosomal RNA (92 nucleotides) under Enterococcus faecium. The record is from RNAcentral. Lineage: Bacteria; Bacillati; Bacillota; Bacilli; Lactobacillales; Enterococcaceae.
GUUAGAAGGAUACACCUGUAACCAUGCCGAACACAGAAGUUAAGCUUCUUAGCGCCGAUUGUAGUGAGGGGUUGCCCCUUGUGAGAGUAGGA